GCCUCUGUGAUCAAAGCUAUGGCUAUGACCAAGGGACAAGGAGUGUUUCCUCUUGGAAAGCUCACAGCUUGAAGAGGGAUGGAAGCCUGUAAUCUCAGUUUUGGGUUCUGACCAAGUCCAGAUAGAGAAGUUGGGAGGACCCUGGGCAUCGGGGAAUAUGAACUGGAGACAGUCACUGCAGCAAGCAAAAUACAUAAAGUGGCACUAUUGAUUCAUCUUUUAUUUCUCUGUGUUUUAGCUAUCUCUUCUGAAAAGUGUGAGGGGGAGCGGCCCAUGCUUUCUUUAGUUUAUGUAGACAAACCCAAAAUAUACCCUACAUGGUGAUAUUUGAUUCAUUCCUUAAUGCUUUCUCAUGCUCUAGGAUAUAAGGCUGCUAUUGAAUUUGGGGCCUGUGUCUUAUUUAUGUAUAUCCCUAGCAUUACACAUCGCUAAGCAUAAAAAGAUACAAAAAAGUUUGUUAAAUGCUACAAACAAAGGUAUAGCUUUUUGAGGACAACAUAUGUUGGAUAACAUGUGGAUGUUGUGGUUAUAAAGGAAAUUAUUUUACCUUUAUCCCCAGGGCACUGUGUCUUUCUUCCACCUGCUGACAGUGAAGAUUCUGGAGUUCCACAUUUGAUUGUUUUCAUCUUUCAAAGAUAUGGCGCUUCAGGGAGUCUUCUCCCUUGCUGAGGAACUGAGACCUGGAGUAGCUCUGAGAUGAAAUAUGAUUGCAUUCUAAACUAAGGAGGCAAAGUAACAAAGGCACGCAGGACUCACAGGCCCUGGAUGAAGGCUGGCAGCUUCAGACAGAACCAGCACGUCUGAGGGACAACCAAGAGGUGCCUUUGGCUGUGGACUUCAGGAUAUGAAUCAGAGAGAAAGAACUGAAGACUUGUCCCAGGAAGAAAAGGGAGGACUGGCAGCAGAUUUUUCACUGGUUUGUCUUUGGAAAAGAAUGAGAAGAGCUGGUAAACUCUCCUUCCUCACUUCUGCUCCUUGGGUGAGUGUAAUUUAUAUUUCUAACCAUUUUGCAAAUGUCAUUAAAGAGUAUUUCCCAAGUUUCUGUUGAGGAAGAGCCUUGUUUGAUCUUUGCAAUGCUGGCACUCUUUUAGAAUUAACCAUGGAAAAAUUUGAUGACACUUCCAUGCUUCUUGUAAAAUUUAUCUUUGGGGUAAUUUUACAGUGUGUGUUUUCCCCUUGAAUGUUUUAAAGAUUUGGAUUUCCGUCUCUUUGCAGAACAUUGUACCAGCUGUGUCUCAUUUGCUUUGCAAGGGCAUUUGAAGAAAUUGCUAUUUUGGAAACUGCUUAACGUAUGAGAUAAUUGUUUUAAGCACUUUGCAGGUUGCAUAGUGCUUUCCCAUUAUUUUAUCCAUUCAUUUUUCCUAGACACUUAGGAAAUACUAUUUACAUUUUUCAGAAAGGAAAAUAGAGGUACUGAAGAAAGAACAGAAAGCA
RNAcentral lists this long non-coding RNA (1434 nucleotides) under Fukomys damarensis (Damara mole-rat). Its description in RNAcentral is "lncRNA (ENSFDAG00000031020.1)". Lineage: Eukaryota; Metazoa; Chordata; Mammalia; Rodentia; Bathyergidae. The record is from RNAcentral.